RNAcentral lists this ribosomal RNA (624 nucleotides) under Penicillium turbatum. RNAcentral describes it as "eukaryotic LSU rRNA". It matches the Rfam family "Eukaryotic large subunit ribosomal RNA", at positions 10 to 649 of the family's 3401-position model. Lineage: Eukaryota; Fungi; Ascomycota; Eurotiomycetes; Eurotiales; Aspergillaceae. The record is from RNAcentral.
AUCAGGUAGGGAUACCCGCUGAACUUAAGCAUAUCAAUAAGCGGAGGAAAAGAAACCAACAGGGAUUGCCCCAGUAACGGCGAGUGAAGCGGCAAGAGCUCAAAUUUGAAAGCUGGCUCCUUCGGGGUCCGCAUUGUAAUUUGCAGAGGAUGCUUCGGGAGCGGUCCCCAUCUAAGUUCCCUGGAACGGGACGUCAUAGAGGGUGAGAAUCCCGUAUGGGAUGGGGUGUCCGCGCCCGUGUGAAGCUCCUUCGACGAGUCGAGUUGUUUGGGAAUGCAGCUCUAAAUGGGUGGUAAAUUUCAUCUAAAGCUAAAUAUUGGCCGGAGACCGAUAGCGCACAAGUAGAGUGAUCGAAAGAUGAAAAGCACUUUGAAAAGAGAGUUAAAAAGCACGUGAAAUUGUUGAAAGGGAAGCGCUUGCGACCAGACUCGCUCGCGGGGUUCAGCCGGCAUUCGUGCCGGUGUACUUCCCCGCGAGCGGGCCAGCGUCGGUUUGGGCGGUCGGUCAAAGGCCCUCGGAAGGUAACGCCCCCAGGGGCGUCUUAUAGCCGAGGGUGCAAUGCGACCUGCCUAGACCGAGGAACGCGCUUCGGCUCGGACGCUGGCAUAAUGGUCGUAAGCGACC